Molecule: long non-coding RNA, 524 nt
Organism: Physella acuta
Lineage: Eukaryota; Metazoa; Mollusca; Gastropoda; Physidae
Source: RefSeq, a predicted model, not a curated record
CCCAUAUCAAUCAGCUUCUUCCUGGACUAUACCAUUUGUACAGCGAAAGGUUACAACUAUCACCUUUUUAGAUUUUCAUAUCGAAAAACCACGAUCUUCCCAAUGCGACGACAAUAACUACGUUAAAAUAUAUAACGGGACGUCAUCAAGAGACAGACUUCUUCUAUUUGAAUGUGGCUAUAACAUCCCGCGUCCAGUCAGCUCGACCGUUAACCUAUACAUCGAAUUUCGUGCCAAAGGGCUGCACGGUGCACGCGGAUUUAAGUUAGCCUUCAGUUACGCACCCCUUGACGAGACCGAUUACACAGGUGAAAUACUUACUCCAAACUACCCGUUGAACUACUCAAACAAUUAUAGACACAAUUGGACAAUACCUGCUCGGCCUAACAAAAUAACCACAUUGACCUUUUUAGAUUUCGACAUAUUCACUCUUGAGGACUACAUAUGCGAGGGAUACAAUGGAAAAGAUUACCUUAGGAUACAUAAUGGGACGUCAGAUACAGACCCAAUCAUUUUUUUUUCGU